AUUGAACGCUGGCGGCAGGCCUAACACAUGCAAGUCGAGCGGAUGAAGGGAGCUUGCUCCUGGAUUCAGCGGCGGACGGGUGAGUAAUGCCUAGGAAUCUGCCUGGUAGUGGGGGAUAACGUCCGGAAACGGGCGCUAAUACCGCAUACGUCCUGAGGGAGAAAGAGGGGGAUCUUCGGACCUCACGCUAUCAGAUGAGCCUAGGUCGGAUUAGCUAGUUGGUGGGGUAAAGGCCUACCAAGGCGACGAUCCGUAACUGGUCUGAGAGGAUGAUCAGUCACACUGGAACUGAGACACGGUCCAGACUCCUACGGGAGGCAGCAGUGGGGAAUAUUGGACAAUGGGCGAAAGCCUGAUCCAGCAAUGCCGCGUGUGUGAAGAAGGUCUUCGGAUUGUAAAGCACUUUAAGUUGGGAGGAAGGGCAGUAAGUUAAUACCUUGCUGUUUUGACGUUACCAACAGAAUAAGCACCGGCUAACUUCGUG
This 484-nucleotide ribosomal RNA is filed under the name uncultured bacterium. RNAcentral's name for it is "partial 16S ribosomal RNA". It matches the Rfam family "Bacterial small subunit ribosomal RNA", at positions 30 to 507 of the family's 1533-position model. The record is from RNAcentral.